CAUGUGCUCUUUUUCUCCAUC
This 21-nucleotide microRNA is filed under the name Picea abies (Norway spruce). RNAcentral's name for it is "pab-miR164b". Its record names the gene pab-miR164b. Lineage: Eukaryota; Viridiplantae; Streptophyta; Pinopsida; Pinales; Pinaceae. The record is from miRBase by way of RNAcentral.